GCACUGCUGACGAGUCCCACAAUAAGGACGGAAUGGCCAUCCAGUGC
Non-coding RNA from Schistosoma mattheei, 47 nucleotides. The record is from Rfam. Lineage: Eukaryota; Metazoa; Platyhelminthes; Trematoda; Strigeidida; Schistosomatidae.